RNAcentral lists this ribosomal RNA (497 nucleotides) under uncultured bacterium. RNAcentral describes it as "partial 16S ribosomal RNA". It matches the Rfam family "Bacterial small subunit ribosomal RNA", at positions 28 to 507 of the family's 1533-position model. The record is from RNAcentral.
GACGAACGCUGGCGGCGUGCCUAAUACAUGCAAGUAGAGCGCUGAAGAGAGGAGCUUGCUCUUCUUGGAUGAGUUGCGAACGGGUGAGUAACGCGUAGGUAACCUGCCUUGUAGCGGGGGAUAACUAUUGGAAACGAUAGCUAAUACCGCAUAACAAUGGAUGACACAUGUCAUUUAUUUGAAAGGGGCAAUUGCUCCACUACAAGAUGGACCUGCGUUGUAUUAGCUAGUAGGUGAGGUAAUGGCUCACCUAGGCGACGAUACAUAGCCGACCUGAGAGGGUGAUCGGCCACACUGGGACUGAGACACGGCCCAGACUCCUACGGGAGGCAGCAGUAGGGAAUCUUCGGCAAUGGGGGCAACCCUGACCGAGCAACGCCGCGUGAGUGAAGAAGGUUUUCGGAUCGUAAAGCUCUGUUGUAAGUCAAGAACGGGUGUGAGAGUGGAAAGUUCACACUGUGACGGUAGCUUACCAGAAAGGGACGGCUAACUACGUG